This is a long non-coding RNA of Culex pipiens pallens (northern house mosquito), 604 nucleotides long. RefSeq lists it as uncharacterized. NCBI's taxonomy places the organism in Eukaryota, Metazoa, Arthropoda, Insecta, Diptera, Culicidae. The transcript has 3 exons. The record is from RefSeq and is a predicted model, not a curated record.
GUGCUAGAAAAACAUUUUUGAAUGUGCCCUCGCGGAAGAAUGUCCACGUCAGUUGACCGGUCGGUCAACGGCUGCCCGAUGGAGAAGUUAAUCGUGGAUUGCGGACCGGAAAAUGGUGUUCGGAUGUAGAGCCCCGCGAUCAAGCCGAUGACUUAUGGCCCAAGAUCAAAUAGCAGAAUCUUCUCCAGUUCUCGCGCCAGCCCUCCAGCGGAACCAACUCCACGCUGCCGCACAACAUCAUCAACGAAAAGUUGGCCAUGGAAAACUGUCUGUUCGAUCCCAAAGCAGGUCGCCGGUCCAAGCGCGAAUCGGUCGGCGAUUGUAAAACUGGCGUCCAGUGUCCCGGCAAAAGCUCAGGUUGGGGAAAAGGAGGCGACGAUAAAAAAGUAAAUGCCGCCGAGGAAGCUUCCUAAAAACCGAGGGACGAUUAAGAUUAGCGUUGCUUUGCGCCGGAGUGGGAAAAAGAAUUUGCAAUACCAACAAUUCAUCAAAAAAAAGUUCUGUGGCAAAGUCUCCGGUGACUUCUUAUGACAUGCUCGAACAGAUCCCCCAAGAUAGUGUCUCAGUUGAACGGAAACCGGAAGCUGAAGUUCAAGCCAUUUCG